UGAGCCUCAGCAUUCUUAUAGGUGUAACAAGGAAGUGAGACUUUUUGGCCUCUAAAAGCUUUUAUAACUUGGAGAGAUUAGUUGAUCUAAUCUAUGACCCCAUCCUCCAGUUAGGAAGCUGAGGUCCUGGAAGACAAAGUGCUUUUAUCUCAGGUUGCCCAAUGGAUAAGUACAUUACUUUUUAACUCUAUGCCUGAUUGACCAAGGUAAAGCUGAAAGAGUCUCAUCUGAACUAUAACCCAAGUGGGUAAGCCAGUCCCUUGGCACUGCCCAGGAAGAAGAUAUGGAUGGGAGGACUACUCCUUCUUGAAUGCAGAGGAUAAAAGUUAUCUGGGAGCUCUUUUACGAUUGUUGGAGAAGAUAGGAGAAAGUGAAGAAGGGAAGAAGAGAAAAAAACAGAGAAGAAAGAAGGAAAAGAAGAUAGAGGGACAAGUAGAAGAAGGAAAGGAAAGGAAAAGCAAGGAAAAAGGAUAACCUGUCCUCUUUGACUAGUAGGCUCACCAACUCUUCUUUACCAUGGAAGGGAUUUCAGUAGGACCAAAGGCUUUUCCCAUGAAAUAGUAUUUUAUCUUGAUAAGAACCUAGCACAUUGGUUACCAACCUCCUUAAAUUGAUUCCCUCAAAAGGAAGAAAGUGUAUCUGGAAAUCCUCUGAAACUUCCAGAGUCCCCCAAGCCCAGUGCUAUUUCUACCAGGGGAGAAAGCAGAGCUCUUUGUAUAUAUGGGUAGGAGCAAAGUAAGAUUCUCCUCCCCCUUUCCCCACAACCCGAAGCAGAAGUUUCUCCUGAGAUUUCAACCAGUAAAAUCACCAUAUAAUAGAUUAGGCAUCCUGAGAAGUUCUUAAUGGAACGAGAGCUCUCACUAAUCAAAGCAGGAAAGAACAGGGCCUUGAAGAAAUCAGAAAUCUAAUUAAGGUGGAAUUUCAAGAGAUCUGACUGAAUGUUAAAUAAGUUGUAGAAGCCUCAUCAAAAGGAUUAACUCAGCUGCAGAGACAACGCAGAAGUGCAGGUGGGGAUUCUGCAUGAAGACUGGAAAAAAAAACAGUGACAAGAACUGAAAGUGGUCAUUGUGUUCAUGGUGUGUCUAAAGGACAGAUAAAAGAAAGAGGUGCCCCUGACCCCUCCUUUCAUCCCAUCUUAGUUGAUGAGGUUUGGGGAAAAGAAGAGUUUGUUAAGCUCAUUUAAUCUGUUUUGUCUUGUCCAUGUUUUCAUCAAGCAACUUUCUGAUUAAUUUGGCUUUUAGAAUAUAUUUUUCCAAGCAAGACAGAGAUUGUUAUUCAGCCAACAUGAGCAUUCCCAGCUGUUUUUGGGUUAUAUUAGCUCUGGAAUUAAAACAAAACCAAACAAAAAAGCCUCUCUGUGUU
Molecule: long non-coding RNA, 1362 nt
Organism: Homo sapiens (human)
Lineage: Eukaryota; Metazoa; Chordata; Mammalia; Primates; Hominidae
Source: Ensembl